This 207-nucleotide long non-coding RNA is filed under the name Elaeis guineensis (African oil palm). RNAcentral's name for it is "long non-coding RNA (EGUI_LNC027658)". Lineage: Eukaryota; Viridiplantae; Streptophyta; Magnoliopsida; Arecales; Arecaceae. The record is from RNAcentral.
UCUCUAUCUUUUUUCUUGAGCUUUAAAAUUCGUGUGGCCCUUUUUGGACCAUUUAAGUUGACUAUUGCUUGUGGGCUAGUCAAAUGGAUUGAGCCUAGUCUUAGUUUGGCCUAUUGUGGUGGGAUGCCAUAGUCUUAGCUUUAGAGCUUUUGCUAAAGAUUAGGUGUUUCUAUUAUUCAGUUUUUAAGUCCUACUUUGGGUUAGGUG